Molecule: long non-coding RNA, 252 nt
Organism: Setaria italica (foxtail millet)
Lineage: Eukaryota; Viridiplantae; Streptophyta; Magnoliopsida; Poales; Poaceae
Exons: 2
Source: RefSeq, a predicted model, not a curated record
AUUUGGUGCCUCGCUCACAUGAACCUCCCUCUACCUCAUACAACGAUUCGCUGUCGGAGUCUGACUCGCUCUCAAGAGCAUGAUUUGCCGAAGUGGUUGCCCUGGGACUAGCUGUGGCAGAACAAAUGCAGCAGAUGGCAGAGCUCCAUGUAUGCCCCUUACCGGAGAUGGACGCCGUCUGCGACGCGACUGGGUUCGCCGGGCGGAUGCUCCCGAACCACCAGCUGUUUCCAUCCAUGGCGCUCUGCACAA